UCCACGGCAUGUGGGAUCUUGCCGGACCAGGGCUCGAACCCGUGUCCCCUGCAUUGGCAGGCGGAUUCUUAUCCACUGCGCCACCAGGGAAGUCCCCACACUCAUUCUUGGAGGUACUACCUGCUUCCCCACCUGGACUAAAGAGUCACAUUUCUUCACCCCAUGGCCUGCUGCCUCUUUUCCUACCUUUGCCCUGGUUCUCUCCUCUGCCCCACUCCCUUCUCUCACCUCUCUUCACCUCUUACCUUCUUCUCGAUCUUCAACUCAGAUCCCUCCUCCCAGAACCACCCACCCAAUUCUCUUUCUUCCUCUUCCCAGCUCCUCCUCCAGAUGGCCAAUCCCAAUAUACCUUUGAGAUCUCAUCCUUAUUUAACCUUGCAAUCUUCAUAAAACUGUUGGCCGCCCACUGGUUUCAUAACUCCUGGUUUGCCUUUCACUCCUCUGUCGAUUAGGCCCCAUUUCCUCUCCCUCUCCUUGCCCUUUAAACUUGGGUGUUCUUUCCCUUCCUCACCCCCAAGCCCUCUGUGUUGGCCAGGAUCCUGGCAGGAAACAGAUGGCACACUCAGAUUGGGUAAUGCAGGGAAGAGUGUGAAAAAGAACUAUUUACAAAGGUGUGGGGCAGGUGCUGGGAAACCACAUGGGGCAGUGCUGUACCCUGGGGCUAGCAGCAGUGGGAGCACUUCCUCGCUCAGGCCUGAGGGCUGGAGGAGGAACCCUGCCUGAUGUGAGCUGUAACCUUCAUUCGAGAGAAGCAGUCACCCUGUGCUAACCCUGCAUGGAGGGAGUGAGACAGAAAUACCCGUGCUUCUCUCUUCCCAUCCUCUGAUCUCCUACCAGGGCCUCCCAUGGACUGAACCCAGCUGAAAGCCAGAAGGCAGGGAGUCUGGUGUGAGGCAGUCCACAUAGGUCAGCCUUUCCAGGCACAGAGCAAGCUGGAGAAGGGUGGGGAAUAGCUCUGGAGGCCAAGGGAAAACGCCCAGCAUGGUCGCCGCUGUAUUGUGCUUCCUCCCCUGGCUUCACGGACCGUCUUCUUCAUGGUGAUUGCCACAACUCCUGCAUAGACCUCUCUCCUGAGUUCAGGCCUGGGGAUCAAUAGCCUCCUAGAUACCACUGCCCAGGGGCUCCCAGGAACCCAGGAACUGAAUAUCACUUGAGUGCCUGCAGGAAAAUGAUGGAGACCUUCCCAACCCCUGAAUUCCACCCUGCCACUGCUCACCUCUCAGCUCUGCUCAUGAAGUUCCUUGGAGACACAGAUGCCCACAUAUUUUCUAGCUGUGGACACAUGACAAAGUUCUGCCCGGUGAAAAAGAAGCAAAAGAGUUUUGGGAGCAGAUUCCAAGGAAAUUCCUUAAGAGACAUCUGGUAUGCACCCUUCCCCUUUGGAUGGAAGGAGGAGCUAUUAUGGGAAAAGGGUCGUGUGGUUGUGGGGAGGGGAUACAUGCAGAGUAAGCAAAAGUAAAGAGCUCCCUCAGGCCACUCCAUUCAUCCAAGCCCUCAUCACUAUCAUUUUAUUUUAUGGCAAGCUUUUACUAUUUCACCAGAAAAAUAUUUUCCCCUUAAGUGAGUGAUUUUUUGUAAAUGUAUGGUGUCUUUAAAUAUAUUUCAUUGUAUCUUGGA
Aethalodelphis obliquidens (Pacific white-sided dolphin) is the source of this 1617-nucleotide long non-coding RNA. RefSeq lists it as uncharacterized. The record is from RefSeq and is a predicted model, not a curated record. NCBI's taxonomy places the organism in Eukaryota, Metazoa, Chordata, Mammalia, Artiodactyla, Delphinidae. The transcript has 2 exons.